Molecule: ribosomal RNA, 428 nt
Filed under: uncultured bacterium
Lineage: Bacteria
Description: partial 16S ribosomal RNA
Rfam family: Bacterial small subunit ribosomal RNA
Source: RNAcentral
UGGGGAUAUUGCACAAUGGAGGAAACUCUGAUGCAGCAACGCCGCGUGAAGGAUGAAGGUCUUCGGAUUGUAAACUUUUGUACUUGGGGACGAUAAUGACGGUACCCAAGCAGNAAGCUCCGGCUAACUACGUGCCAGCAGCCGCGGUAAUACGUAGGGAGCAAGCGUUGUCCGGAUUUACUGGGUGUAAAGGGUGCGUAGGCGGCUAUGCAAGUCAGUUGUGAAAACUAUGGGCUCAACCCAUAGCCUGCAAUUGAAACUGCGUGGCUUGAGUGAAGUAGAGGUAGGUGGAAUUCCCGGUGUAGCGGUGAAAUGCGUAGAGAUCGGGAGGAACACCAGUGGCGAAGGCGACCUACUGGGCUUUAACUGACGCUGAGGCACGAAAGCAUGGUAGCAAACAGGAUUAGAUACCCUGGUAGUCCAUGCCG